This is a long non-coding RNA of Cyprinus carpio (common carp), 210 nucleotides long. RefSeq lists it as uncharacterized. NCBI's taxonomy places the organism in Eukaryota, Metazoa, Chordata, Actinopteri, Cypriniformes, Cyprinidae. The record is from RefSeq and is a predicted model, not a curated record. The transcript is spliced from 3 exons.
UCCUGAUUCAGGUCUGUCUUCAGCUGCUGUAGCAGGGAUAUGUGUUGGUGCUGUUCUGCUGAUAGUGGGUGCAGCUGCUGGUGUGAUUUACUAUCGCAAGCUUCUCAAGCAGGGCAAAGAUCAGGAACCAGGACUCAGUGCAGUGAUCAGUGAUACAUACACCGCUGUUAAUCUUGAUGACAAUGGAUCGGAGCCUGCAGCUACUGAGCC